RNAcentral lists this ribosomal RNA (517 nucleotides) under uncultured Metschnikowiaceae. Its description in RNAcentral is "eukaryotic LSU rRNA". It matches the Rfam family "Eukaryotic large subunit ribosomal RNA", at positions 20 to 517 of the family's 3401-position model. The record is from RNAcentral. Lineage: Eukaryota; Fungi; Ascomycota; Saccharomycetes.
ACUACCCGCUGAACUUAAGCAUAUCAAUAAGCGGAGGAAAAGAAACCAACAGGGAUUGCCUCAGUAACGGCGAGUGAAGCGGCAGAAGCUCAAAUUUGAAAUCCCCCGGGAAUUGUAAUUUGAAGAGAUUUGGGUCCGGCCGGCAGGGGUUAAGUCCACUGGAAAGUGGCGCCACAGAGGGUGACAGCCCCGUGAACCCCUUCAACGCCCUCAUCCCAGAUCUCCAAGAGUCGAGUUGUUUGGGAAUGCAGCUCUAAGUGGGUGGUAAAUUCCAUCUAAAGCUAAAUACCGGCGAGAGACCGAUAGCGAACAAGUACAGUGAUGGAAAGAUGAAAAGCACUUUGAAAAGAGAGUGAAAAAGUACGUGAAAUUGUUGAAAGGGAAGGGCUUGCAAGCAGACACUUAACUGGGCCAGCAUCGGGGCGGCGGGAAACAAAACCACCGGGGAAUGUACCUUUCGAGGAUUAUAACCCCGGUCUCAAUUUCCUUGUUGCCCCGAGGCCUGCAAUCUAAGGAU